GUCCUAGCCGUAAACGAUGGACACUAGGUGUCGGCUCCGUUAGGAGUCGGUGCCGUAGCCAACGCGUUAAGUGUCCCGCCUGAGGAGUACGGCCGCAAGGUUGAAACUCAAAGGAAUUGACGGGGGCCAGCACAAGCGGUGGAACAUGUGGUUCAAUUCGAUGCUACGCGAAGAACCUUACCCAGGCUUGACAUGCUUGAAGUAGGAACCUGAAAGGGUGACGACUCGUAUCCAGUCGAGAACUUGCACAGGUGCUGCAUGGCUGUCGU
Molecule: ribosomal RNA, 269 nt
Filed under: uncultured bacterium
Lineage: Bacteria
Description: partial 16S ribosomal RNA
Rfam family: Bacterial small subunit ribosomal RNA
Source: RNAcentral